RNAcentral lists this transfer RNA (65 nucleotides) under Franklinothrips vespiformis. RNAcentral describes it as "tRNA-Arg". The record is from RNAcentral. Lineage: Eukaryota; Metazoa; Arthropoda; Insecta; Thysanoptera; Aeolothripidae.
GGAGAUAAAACAUUAAAAUGUACCUAAUUUCGGCCUAGGCUAUGAGGAAAAUUCCUCUAUCUCCU